This is a long non-coding RNA of Lotus japonicus, 932 nucleotides long. RefSeq lists it as uncharacterized. NCBI's taxonomy places the organism in Eukaryota, Viridiplantae, Streptophyta, Magnoliopsida, Fabales, Fabaceae. The record is from RefSeq and is a predicted model, not a curated record. The transcript is spliced from 3 exons.
CUAGCAGUACAAAAACGCAGACCACCUCCUUGUUUCUUACUCUCCUUCUCUUUCACGUUUCUUUUUCCUUGGCUGCAGUAAACAGCACCCUUUCUCCUUCUUUGCCGUGACCAUACAUGUUCUUCUUCUCCUUUCCACCAUGAAAACCAUCACCACAAAAAAUGUUCUUGUUCUGGUCCUCCUUCUUCACGCAAGAAAGCCACCACAUGGCAACCACUACGUUCCUCUUCUUUCUCUCCGUGGCCACCACGAGAAGGCCAACACCACAAGGAACACGUACAGCCCCAUUUAUCAUAUGGUAUUGUUCAAGUUUCAUCAUCCAUAUCAUGACAAGGAGACACGAUUGCCAUGCCACUUUACUUCCUCAUGUGGGUACGGAGGACGAAAGCGCCUUGCGGCGAAGCUAAAGAAUAGAAGCAAGCAAGCCAACGCAGAAAAUAGAGAUGUGAUCAGAUCGGAGUUGCAGCUUGGAUGGAGAAAUCAAAGGCGAUGGAGGACUUGACGUAGUUGACCCCGGUGCGAGUCAGAGAUGAGGACUUGAAGAAUUGUGGAAGACUUGAAGAGUAGAGUCGGGUUUAGGGCUAGAGCCUUGGGUUAGAGAGAUUAUUGUUAUUGGUUUAAGCUUGCAUAAUGAUUUUUAGGAAUUUAUAUUGAGUUUUCGGGUAGUUUUCGAUGCAUUGCUUUCCUGCGGUUCCCCGAUGUGGAGAUCGUAGGGUGUAGGUCGGAUUAUGGUGUCAUGGCAUAACAGAUUCCUUGUCGGAUCUGAUUCUAUUCGUUAGAUUUGUAGUUGUGUUAUUUAGUUCAUAAAUUGGGGAACUUGCCUUGUUCAAGGCUUGAUGUAAAUUUGAUUUACUGUUGGGAGUAGGCAUUACAUGUUUUGGAAAUACUUUGAAAACAGAAAAAAAAAAAAAAAUAUACUUGCUUUUAUUAUC